UAGAGCGGAGGAAAACCAAGAAAAGCGGGGUUAGAGCAAUUCCCCUCUCUCUGCUCCCCCUUAACAUAAACUAUAAAUCUGUAAUUACCCUUUGCCUUAGUGAGGCCCCCUUUCCCUUUCUGUAGCUAAGUGUUCUCUUUUCAUCUACUAUGGGGUCCUUUUUCACUAUUCAGUCCCUCAUCUACUCAUCGUCACAUUCCAACAUGGUUCCUUGUGUAACUCCAUUGAUACCUCCACAUCUACAUACAGCUUCAUUGUCAAACAUCAGCUCCAUGUCCCCCCCCAGACACCUCAACAUCCCCCCCCAAACAUCUCUGCCCCCCAUCAGCUCAGCAUUAUUCCAGUAUCAGAGCCAGAACUCACCUCCUGUAGUGCUGUUCUAGGCCGAGCAAUGUGAUGGCGGAGAAGCCAAGUCCUGCAGCUCCAUCCAGCAGCUCUUGGUCCAAGGCAGCAACAGAGCAGAAGAGCUUCUUCAUGUGGGUAGAUGUGACCUAUCAUCCUGAUUGGGCACCUGCUGAGGGGAGGGGCCCACCCCAUGGGCACAGGUGGGGGCCGUUGAGGGGUGGAUUGUGAUUGGUUGGAGCCUGGCUCCUCCCCUCCUUGAUUGGUAUUUAAGGGCUGGGAAGGGCAGGGGGCAGCAUCAGUUCCAGCUCGGUGCUCCUAUGGGAGCAUUGAGGGAGAGGAUUCUCCUUCCUGCUGCUUUCGAGCUCUGGAUGCCAUAUGGGAUGCGACUCUGCUUGGAGAUCCUUUCCUUUGGGGUCAAUGCACUUAUGGAUGGGGGUGAGAAGGAGCUGUAUCUAGAGCCUCCUUCCUUUGGAUGGAGGGCUCAGCCUUCACAAUGGGAGUAUCAGCCCCAGUGCUGGCUCCUAUGGGACGUUGUUCAUCACUAUCUCCAUCUGGACACGGAGCCAUUGGCUGCUGCUCUCUGGACUCGGUUCUACAGCCAGUUCUUCAUCCAUCUCAUCAUCUUCCCGUCCACUUGGUGUCUUCAUCACUUGGACAUGAGGAUGGUGUGGGGUCCUGCAUCAGAGGCCUUGUUGAAGUCUAAGUAGAUGAUAUCAGCAGGUCUUCCUUCAUCUGCUGAUGUAUCAGUGCCAUCAUAGAAGUCUAUGAGGUCAGUCAAUGAGGAUUUGCCCUUGGUGAAGUCACACUGGUUCUCCAUCAUCACCUCCUGCCUUCCAUGAGCCCUGGGUCCUUCUAUGAGGAUCUCCAUCAUCACCUCCUGCUUCAAUGAGCCCUGGGUCCUUCUAUGAGGAUCUCCAUCAUCACCUCCUGCCUUCCAUGA
Molecule: non-coding RNA, 1285 nt
Organism: Coturnix japonica (Japanese quail)
Lineage: Eukaryota; Metazoa; Chordata; Aves; Galliformes; Phasianidae
Source: RefSeq, a predicted model, not a curated record